Molecule: ribosomal RNA, 1065 nt
Filed under: uncultured Planctomycetales bacterium
Lineage: Bacteria; Pseudomonadati; Planctomycetota; Planctomycetia; Planctomycetales
Description: bacterial SSU rRNA
Rfam family: Bacterial small subunit ribosomal RNA
Source: RNAcentral
CGGGAGGCUGCGUCGAGAAUAUUUUGCAAUGGGGGAAACCCUGACGAUGCCACGCCGCGUGAGGGAUGAAGGCCCUCGGGUCGUAAACCUCUGUGUUACGGGAUGAAUUGGUUGUUGCUGAUAACUCAACAAUUUUGACGUUACCGUAAUAGAUUCCCCGGCUAACUACGUGCCUCAUCUGCGGUAAUACUUAGGGGGCAAGCGUUGUCCGGAAUCACUGGGCGUAAAGCGCGCGCAGGCGGUGGAGUAAGUCUGACGUGAAAGGGUUCGGCUCAACCCGAGCCCAUUGCGUCUGAUACUGCCUCACUUGAGUCUGGAAGAGGAAAGUGGAAUGUACGGUGUAGCGGUGAAAUGCUCAGAUAUCAUAUAGAACACCCGUGGCGAAGGCGGCUUUCUGGUCUAAGACUGACGCUCAUGCGCGAAAGUUUGGGGAGCAACCGGGAUUAGAUACCCCGCUAGUCCUUACUGUAAACGAUGGGUACUAAGUGUAGGGGGUAUUGAUUCCCUCUGUGCUGUAGCUAACGCAUUAAGUACCCCGCCUGGGGAGUACGGCCGCAAGGUUAAAACUCAAGGUAAUUGACGGGGGGCCGCACAAGAGGUGGAGCAUGUCGCUCAAUUCGACGCAACGCGAAGAACCUUAUCCAGGGCUUGACAUCGCAGUGACCGCCAUAGAAAUAUGGUUUUCCUUCGGGACACUAUGACAGGUGCUGCAUGGCUGUAGUCAGCUCGUGUCGUGAGAUGUUGGGUUAAGUCCCGCAACGAGCGCAACCCCUGUCUUUAGUUGCCAACAGGUAAUGCUGGGGACUCUAAAGAGACCGCUGGUGACGAGCCAGAGGAAGGUGGGGAUGACGUCAAGUCCGCAUGGCCCUUACGCCCUGGGCUGCACACGUGCUACAAUGGCCGGUACAGAGGGACGCCAAACCGCAAGGUGAAGCAAAUCCCAAAAAGCCGGCCCCAGUUCGGAUUGCAGUCCGCAACUCGACUGCACGAAGUUGGAAUCGCUAGUAAUCGCGAAUCAGCAGGUCGCGGUGAAUCCGUUCCCGGCCCUUGUACACACCGCCCGUA